This 4150-nucleotide long non-coding RNA is filed under the name Homo sapiens (human). RNAcentral's name for it is "HSALNT0107451". The record is from RNAcentral. Lineage: Eukaryota; Metazoa; Chordata; Mammalia; Primates; Hominidae.
UUAUGAAUUCUUAUUUGGUGAGUUAUAUUUAAAAAAUAUUAUUUAUUAUAUGCUCAAGUUAUCCAAGAUUUGGCAAGUGGGAAUUCCCUGAAACUGAAUCAUAAAUGCUUUUACAUCUCUUCAUCAUUCUUUAAACAUUUUGCUAUGUUCUGGCAAAUGAAAAUAUUCCAGGUUCAUCAUGAGCUGUAAAGGUAAGGCAUCUCUGUAAAGGUAAGGCAUUACGUUGAUGAGUACCUUGCCCCCACACUUUGCCUGUUAAGCCAAUUUCAAAUGAAGUUCAGGAGUCCUCUUAAUUUGCUGGUUUUAGUUUAACAUCCCUUCCCUGAUGUCUGAGAAUAAUCUGAAAUAAUAGUUCAUUCUACUACUGUCAACAAUAUAAGGAAUUCAGGAGUGGUCUUCUUUCAUAUGAAAAGUUGGCAAAAAUAUAUGGACUCCUUAGCAUUUUUACAAUUUCAUAGGGUGUUGUCAGAAUAAUGAAGCAAACCUAUAAAUCCAAAGAAAACAGCAAAUUUAAAAAAAAAAAAGUAUGUUACACUUUUAGCAAGUUCAGUGGAACAGAAAAGUUAGUAUAUUAUCUAAAUGUAAAGUUCAAGAACAUUGAUUAUGUGAUACACUAUUGUGACAUAUCUGGUGACCUUAAAAUUAAUAUCUUAAGUUUAAAUUAUUAUAAAAGCAGAAGUGAGAGAUCCUUUAGGUCCUUUAUUCAUGGUUUAAAAUAUUUUACUUGCUAAUACACUCUUACCCUACAGGGAUGACACUUAAAUUUUACUGAGCCAUGGAAUAUAGAGCGAGUUCAAGGCUGAGGAAAGCUGCUGUUUUCAAAAGGAUGCCAGUUCUGGGCAUGUAGUCAAUUUCUGGAUAAGUUAUCACAGGGAGCCACCUGGAGUGAGUAAUGGAAACCUGAGAACCUCCUAGUGUGCGGAUCUCUCUCUAUAUAUAUCUAUAUAUGUAUCAUCAAUCUGGAUAUAUAUAUAUUUCAGAUAUUUUAUAUAAUCAGACUUUUUAUAUAUGAACAUAUAUAUGAAUAUAUGAUUUUUAAUAUUUUAUGUAUUUCUCUAAAAUAUAUUUCUAGAUACCUAUAUAUUAUCUUAAGGAGUCAGAUAACUUCUGAAAUGAUGAAGUCUGUCAAUCAUUCACUCCUUUGUAAAUUAUAAUAUUUUCAUUUGAUUUUUCACAGGAAAUGAGAGAAUGCCUUAUAUGUGUGUUUGUGAGGGUCUGUGGAUAAGUAUUCAUGUGUGUUUUUCUAACAAAAGAGCCACUCUAUUAUUUAACAAUGGAAGUUAUUUCUCAAUUUGAUUUAACAUUUAUAUUUUCCCUAAUCUCUUGCCAACUGGAAAAUGUAUCUAUGCUUUUCAAUGCUCCAGUUCAAUACCCCAUCCCACAGAGUUCCCAAGAUAACUGUUAGGAUUCAAUGAAAGAUACAGUUUUUCCCAAAAAAGCCAGCAUUUUCUUCAAACUGGAUUCAGACAGCAGGUAAGGUCAAGGAGUCAACCAUACUUAGUUCUGGAACCCCCAUCAACCUAAUCCAUCCAUAUGAGAAAAUGUUCAUGCUGGCCUUGAGCAGUGGCUCACGCCUAUAAUCCUAGCAUUUUGGGAGGCUGAGGCGGGUGGAUCACUUGAGGUCAGGAGUUCAAGACCAGCCUGGCCAAUAUGGUGAAACCCCAUCUCUACUAAAAAUACAAAAUUAGCCAGGUGUAGUGGCAUGUGCCUGUAAUCCCAGCUACUCAGGAGGUUGAGGCAGAAGAACGCUUGAACCCAGAAGACAAAAGUGGCAGUGAGCCGAGAUUGCACCACUGCACUCCAGUCUGGGCAACAGAGUGAGACUCUGUCAAAAAAAAAAGAAAGAGAAGAGAAGAGAAGAGACAAAAGAAAAGAAAAGAAAAGAAGAAAGAAAAGAAAAGAGGAAGGAAAAAGAAAAACCUCAUACUAAUAAUAAAACUGCAGUUGCAAACAAGGUGAAGAGGAGGAUGCAAUGAGUCAAGCUAACAGUUUUGGAAAAGAUCAGUUCUGUCCUGCCUUGCAGCAACCUCCACAAGCACAGAGUCCCUUAAAAUCAGAAUCUCUUUUAUAAGAACAAAUUUGAGGGGAAAAACACUUCUGUGCAUUUACCAUCAAUUAUUUAAAAUACACCAAAAUGCACUCACAGAAAAAAAAUGAUUCAGGCUGAAAGAGAAACUUUUGUGAUUAUAGCAAAUGCCCUCAAGCAAAAAAAAAAAAGAAAAAAAGUUAAAAAGGUUUAUAAAUGGAAAAGCAAGAAAAAGAAAAAAAGAUGAAUAAAGUCAUACUAAGGGAAGAAAGAUUCUUCAAGGAAGUGCAGUAUAUGUUGGAAACAUGUUAGAGAUUUAAACUAGAAACAAUACUAAGUACACUGAAAGCCGCAGGAGUCAUCAUAGACUUUUGUUUUGCGAAGGAUAUUAAUGGACAUGGAUUCAAAUCUUCACACCAACACAGACUCCUUUUCCAGCAUCCAUGGAAUCUACAAGAAAUGGAAUAGACCAGGGUGACCCAUCAUUCGCAUAAUGAUCUUCUUUGGUUCCACCACAUUCUACAUUUCUUUUUAUCCACAAUGUUUACUGCUCUCUGGAGAAGGAACCUAGUUUUCCUCUAGUAAUUUUGAUGAAUGGCUACUGGCUGUUGGGGAAGACAUACAUAAAAUUAAAAUAAAAAGUAAGGGAAGCUUGAACUAUUGGGAGACAUCUGUAAUCCACAUGAUUUCCCUGUUAUGCUGUAGUCCUGAAACUUCAAAAAGGAGGCAAGGCCUCCAAAUGACAACAUUAGAAGCUGACUUUACUGCUUUUUGUCCCAAUAAAUCUUUUCAAAUUUUAGAAUGUUAUGAUUUAUGGUAAUGAUAGAGAACAUGGAGAAAUAUUUAUAUAGGACGGAGAUCAUGGCUAAGAGUCUUAGCAAAAUAUUAUUUCCUUGAAUUAGCCUUGAAAGAGUAAAAUCUAUUCUUUUGCUUGGGGUUUUGUGAGGAAUUUUUGUUUGUUUUUCAGAUUUAUUGAGGUAUAGUUGACAAAAAUUGUAUAUAUUCAAUGUGUACAAUGUGGUGUUUUGAUAUAUGUAUACAUUGGGAAAUGAUAAUUAUAAUCAAGUUAAUUAACAUAUCCGUUAUCUCACAUAGUUACCUUUUUUGUAUGGUAAGAAUAUUUAAGAUGCAUUCUCUUAGCAAAUUUCAAGUUUAAGUGUACAUAUUAUUAUUAACUAUAGUCACGAAGCUGUUCAUGGUAUCUCCAGAACUUACUCAUCUUGAAAUUGCAAGUUUACACACUUUGAUUAACAUCUCCCCAUUUCCUCCAUCACUUGACUCCUGGAAACCAUCUUUCUUCUUUCUGUUUCUAUGAGUUCAACAUUUUUAGAUUCCACAUGUAAACAUGUGAAAUCAUGCAGUAUUUGUCUUUCUGUGUCUGGUUUAUUUAACUUAGCAUAAUAUCCUCCAGAUACAUCCAUGUAGUUGCAAAGGCAGGAUUUCUUUCUUUUAUUAAGGCUAAAUAGUAUUCCAUUGCAUACCACAUUUUCUUUAUCCAUUCUUCUGCUCAGAGACACAUAGGUUGAUUUCAUAUCAUAUCCAUUCUUCUGCGCAGAGACACAUAGGUUGAUUUCAUAUCUUGGCUAUUGUGAAUAAUGCUGCAAGAAAUGGGAUUGCAGAUAUAUCUUCUAUUUUCUGAUUUCAUUUUCUUUGGAUAUAUACCCAGAAGUCGGAUUGUUGGAUAAUAUGAUAGUUCUGUUUUUAAUUUUUUGAGGAACUAGCAUAUUUUUUAUGAUGACUGUACCAAUUUACAUGCCUAUCAGCAAUGUAUAAAGUUUCCCUUUUCUCAAUGUCCUUGCCAACAUUUAUCUUUUGACUUUUUGAUAAUAGUCCUGCUAAUGGUUAUGAGCUGAUAUCUCAUUGUGGUUUUAAUUUGCAUUUUCCUGAUGAUUAGUGAUGUUGAGCACUUUUUCAUAUACAAUAUCUGUUGGCUAUUUGUGCAUCUUCUUUUGAGAAAGGUCAAUUCAGGUUCUUUGCUCAUUUUUAAAUCAGGUUUUUUGUUUUUGUUUGCUAUUGAGUUGCAUGAGUUCCUCACAUAUUGUGGAUAUUAACCCCUAAUUAAAUAUAUGGUUUGCAAAUAUUUUCUGACAUUCCAUGAGUUGCCUUUUUACUAUGUUGAUUAAU